RNAcentral lists this ribosomal RNA (454 nucleotides) under uncultured bacterium. RNAcentral describes it as "bacterial SSU rRNA". It matches the Rfam family "Bacterial small subunit ribosomal RNA", at positions 340 to 786 of the family's 1533-position model. The record is from RNAcentral.
UACGGGAGGCAGCAGUGGGGAAUAUUGCACAAUGGGCGAAAGCCUGAUGCAGCUAUGCCGCGUGUAUGAAGAAGGCCUUAGGGUUGUAAAGUACUUUCAUCGGGGAGGAAAAACAAAACUAAUAAUUUUAUUUCUUGACGUUACCCGAAAAAGAAGCACCGGCUAACUCCGUGCCAGCAGCCGCGGUAAUACGGAGGGUGCUAGCGUUAAUCAGAAUUACUGGGCGUAAAGAGCACGUAGGUGGUUUUUUUAAGUCAGAUGUGAAUCCCUGGGCUUAACCUAGGAACUGCAUUUUGAAACUGAAAUACUAGAGUAUCGUAGAGGGAGGUAGAAUUCUAGGUGUAGCGGUGAAAUGCGUAGAUAUCUGGAGGAAUACCUGUGGCGAAAGCGGCCUCCUAAACGAAUACUGACACUGAGGUGCGAAAGCGUGGGGAGCAAACGAGGAUUAGAUACC